AUUGAACGCUGGCGGCAUGCUUUACACAUGCAAGUCGAACGGCAGCGCGGGCUUCGGCCUGGCGGCGAGUGGCGAACGGGUGAGUAAUACAUCGGAACGUGCCCAGUAGUGGGGGAUAGCUCGGCGAAAGCCGGAUUAAUACCGCAUACGACCUGAGGUUGAAAGCGGGGGAUCUUCGGACCUCGCGCUAUUGGAGCGGCCGAUGGCAGAUUAGCUAGUUGGUGGGGUAAAGGCCUACCAAGGCGACGAUCGGUAGCUGGUCUGAGAGGACGACCAGCCACACUGGGACUGAGACACGGCCCAGACUCCUACGGGAGGCAGCGGUGGGGAAUUUUGGACAAUGGGCGAAAGCCUGAUCCAGCAAUGCCGCGUGUGUGAUGAAGGCCUUCGGGUUGUAAAGCACUUUUGGCGGGAACGAAAAGGACUGUGCCAAUACCACGAUUCGAUGACGGUACCCGCAGAAUAAGCACCGGCUAACUACGUG
Molecule: ribosomal RNA, 484 nt
Filed under: uncultured bacterium
Lineage: Bacteria
Description: partial 16S ribosomal RNA
Rfam family: Bacterial small subunit ribosomal RNA
Source: RNAcentral